RNAcentral lists this long non-coding RNA (260 nucleotides) under Trifolium pratense (red clover). Its description in RNAcentral is "long non-coding RNA (TPRA_LNC012862)". The record is from RNAcentral. Lineage: Eukaryota; Viridiplantae; Streptophyta; Magnoliopsida; Fabales; Fabaceae.
AGUCUAUUUCAGGCGGGAGAGGGGGCUGCAAAGGGGGUAACCGGGGCAGAUUUAAAUAUUCCUGUUUUUUUUUUAAUUUCUUUGAACAAGGUGUUCGAACUACAAGAACUAUUCGGGUCUACAUAUCUUGCUGAGAUUGCUAUCAAUAGUAGACAUAGUGUACAACUUGAAGAUGUAUAUGAUCUCAUGAGUACCGUUGCAAGUGUCAAAUGUAUAGAACAAAUAUGAAAAAUGUGAUAAGUGGUGGUUAUAAAGGUUAG